GAAAUGCGAUAAGUAAUGUGAAUUGCAGAAUUCAGUGAAUCAUCGAAUCUUUGAACGCACAUUGCGCCCGGCAGUACUCUGCCGGGCAUGCCUGUCCGAGCGUCAUUUCAACCAUCAAGCCCUCGGCUUGUGUUGGGGGACUGCGGCUGCCGCAGCCCCCUAAGAGCAGUGGCGGGCUCGCCAUCCACGCAGAGUGUAGUAGUCACAUCUCAUUCUGGCGGUGGCGGCGUGUCCCGGCCGUUAAACCCCCUCUCAUCAAGGUUGACCUCGGAUCAGGUAGGAAUACCCGCUGAACUUAA
RNAcentral lists this unclassified non-coding RNA (299 nucleotides) under uncultured Zopfiella. Its description in RNAcentral is "sequence contains ITS1". The stretch from base 1 to 105 matches the Rfam family "5.8S ribosomal RNA", at positions 50 to 154 of the family's 154-position model. The record is from RNAcentral. Lineage: Eukaryota; Fungi; Ascomycota; Sordariomycetes; Sordariales; Chaetomiaceae.